Molecule: ribosomal RNA, 497 nt
Filed under: uncultured bacterium
Lineage: Bacteria
Description: partial 16S ribosomal RNA
Rfam family: Bacterial small subunit ribosomal RNA
Source: RNAcentral
GAUGAACGCUGGCGGCGUGCCUAAUACAUGCAAGUCGAGCGAACAGACGAGGAGCUUGCUCCUCUGACGUUAGCGGCGGACGGGUGAGUAACACGUGGAUAACCUACCUAUAAGACUGGGAUAACUUCGGGAAACCGGAGCUAAUACCGGAUAAUAUAUUGAACCGCAUGGUUCAAUAGUGAAAGACGGUUUUGCUGUCACUUAUAGAUGGAUCCGCGCCGCAUUAGCUAGUUGGUAAGGUAACGGCUUACCAAGGCAACGAUGCGUAGCCGACCUGAGAGAGUGAUCGGCCACACUGGAACGGAGACACGGUCCAGACUCCUACGGGAGGCAGCAGUAGGGAAUCGUCCGCAAUGGGCGAAAGCCUGGCGGAGCAACGCCGCGUGAGUGAUGAAGGUCUUCGGAGCGUAAAACUCUGUUAUUAGGGAAGAACAAAUGUGUAAGUAACUAUGCACGUCUUGACGGUACCUAAUCAGAAAGCCACGGCUAACUACGUG